Cynara cardunculus var. scolymus (artichoke) is the source of this 1048-nucleotide long non-coding RNA. RefSeq lists it as uncharacterized. The record is from RefSeq and is a predicted model, not a curated record. NCBI's taxonomy places the organism in Eukaryota, Viridiplantae, Streptophyta, Magnoliopsida, Asterales, Asteraceae. The transcript is spliced from 4 exons.
ACAGAAAACACAAACUACUUCAAGAUUCAACAAAUUCCGGUCAUCGUCUUCUUUGUGUAGUAGCGGAGGAGUAUUACCCGAUCAUGGCGGCUGAAAGCUCUAAAUCUUCAACAUCGUCAGCAGAUCCGUACAUUGGAAGCUUGAUUAGUUUGAAUUCUAAGAGCAAGAUACGAUACGACAUGAGGGCAUUUUGUACAACAUCAACACCGAAGAAUCAUCCAUUGGAUUGCGCAACGGUAACCAAUUUGAUACGAUCUUUUUUUUUGAAAUGUUUUAUCCCGAUUUCCGGCUUUUCGUUGUAUUUAGGUCAAGGUUCUAAGAAUCGCAAAGAAGUUGAAUAAUUAAUUAUGAAGCUUUGUUUGCGAUCGACUACUUGAUCGACUCUUCCCUCUCCCUCACUGUUUGCGAUCGAUCGACGACGAACCUUCUGCCCAUAGGGCAUCCAUUUGCAGCCAUGGUGGAUUUAUCCUCUUUUUCGAUUAUUUACAUAUCUGAGCCUCACAUGGCAUGAAAAUUGGUCACAUUGGUAUUUCUUUCUUCACUUUUUUCUUUUUAAAACAAGUGUUACACUAUUUUGUUGGCAUACUUGUAAAAUUCUUGAGAGUUAGUGACUUCUGUCAAGAGAAUGAGUUUCUGCCAAUGGACAUAUCAAAGAAGAAAAAGCUUGAACAAGCCUUCGAUUCGAGUGGAUCAACAUUUCGGUUGUGACAGAAGAUAGGGUCUUGGUGCCUUUAAGGUUGGGAUGUUGUUCAUCAUAAAGGAGGGAAAGUUUGGUUCGAGCAUAUGAAUUGUUUAUUACAAUUGCAGACGCUAUUGGAGCAACAAUCGCAUAGCCUCGUCCUCACUUUGAUUGUGCAUGACGAAGAUUGAUAUCUCUCGUUUGUAGGACACAAUAAGAUUUUUUGUAUUUGCAUAAUUCUUGUUCAGUACUUAGUUUUGUCAUGAUACAACUUUGUGGUGGAUACAUAGCUUGAUAGUUGGUACUCAUAUAAGUAUUUGUACAACUUCGAAUUUUGUUUUAUCAAAUCAAUUCGUAAAAAACUUUCAU